Molecule: ribosomal RNA, 253 nt
Filed under: uncultured bacterium
Lineage: Bacteria
Description: partial 16S ribosomal RNA
Rfam family: Bacterial small subunit ribosomal RNA
Source: RNAcentral
UACGGAGGGUGCAAGCGUUAUCCGGAUUCACUGGGUUUAAAGGGGGCGUAGGUGGGCAAGUAAGUCAGUGGUGAAAUCUUCGGGCUUAACCCGGAAACUGCCAUUGAUACUAUUUAUCUUGAAUACUUUGGAGGUAAGCGGAAUAUGUCAUGUAGCGGUGAAAUGCUUAGAUAUGACAUAGAACACCAAUUGCGAAGGCAGCUUACUACACAGUUAUUGACACUGAGGCACGAAAGCGUGGGGAUCAAACAGG